UGGGUGUUCCUCUUUCCCUGCUGACCACCACAUACCACCUCAUUCCCAAUUCCCUCAGGGCUCUUUUUUUUAGAGAUUGGCACCUGAGCUAACAACUGUUGCCAAUCUUCUUUUUUUUUUAUUCUUCUCCCCAAAGACCCCAGUACAUAGUUGUAUAUUUUAGUUGUGGGUUCUUCUAGUUGUGGCAUGUGGGACACCGCCUCAGCGUGACCUGACAAGCGGCGCCAUGUCCGCACCCAGGAUCUGUACCAGCGAAACCUUGGGCCGCCAAAGCAGAGUGCGCGAACUCAACCACUCAGUCAUGGGGCCGCCCCCGCUCAGGGCUGUUGCUUAUGGAGACAAAGCCCAGAUCCAGCAGCACAGAAUGAGUGUCCUUCCACAGAGGCCUCUAACUUCUACCUGGCACGGGUCAAACUCAAGAAUCUGGGACUUUUGGUUACAGUCUCUACUCCUUUGUUUCAAGGACAUUGGGUCACAUAGGCAAAUCCAGACCAAACUCUGUAACAGUCCUGGGUCACAUAUGUUACUAGAAACUUGGGAUGAUAAAGGACUCAAUACGCUCACACUGAGCCUUGCCUCAAGACCAUCUUGUCCUUCCACCUUCACAAUUUCUGUUAAUAUCACUUUUAUCCUAGUUACCCAGCCUCAAAAUUUGGGCAUAAUGAUCCCUAAUAUUUGCUGAGUACUUAAUCCUCACAAAAACUGUAUGAAUGGAUACUAUUCUAUCCAUUUUAUGUAUGAGGAAACUGAGGCUUAGCAAGACUAAGACGUAGCUAGAAUAUAAGCUCUAGAAUCUUUGUCAAUUUUCUUCUGUGGUGUAGCCUGAGUGCCUAGAACUGUGCCUGGCCCAUACAGGUGUUCAAUAAAUAUUUACGAAAUGAAUGGAGGGUGAUACAACAAACACGUGGGAUCUGGGAUUUGAAACCAGAUCUGUCUCGACCACUGCACCACACCUUCUCUGGCUUCAGCUUUGACAUUCCUCUUGUCAUCCCACAGACUCAUCGCCCAAAUCAGUAAUGGUCCAAGCAAGUCCAUUAUCAUGAUGUUUCUUGCAUUUGGCCCCUUUUUUCAUUUCUGCUGCCACCAACCUAGUUAGAGUGAUUGCUAUUUAUUUCCUGAACUAUUGCUGUUCCUUCCCCACCUGCAGUCUUUACAGGCCCCUGUGUGGCCUACCCAACUUUUACCAGAUGGCUUUUUUCUUAAAGCACAUUCAAUACAUCAUACCUCUGCUCAAAGACAAGGUAGGUGGUGUGGUAUAAUGAAAAACUGAGGAACUAAGAAAACCAGGAUUCUGGUCUCAAUUCCAUGACCUUGGACAAGUUACGUAUCCCUCCUAGGCUUCAUUCUCCCCACCAAUAACAUUACGAAGUUAGACUGGGUAAUCUCUUCCCUUGCUGACGUUGUCUGGUGGUUAGACGCAGGGGCUGUUACACCCUGUCAGUGGAAUCCUACCUGGAAUCAGGUACGAAGGGCAGUUGUGCCUCCAAAGGGUUUAGAAUAAGAUGAAUACAUUCAUUUUUAUCAAACAAAGCAGAGCAGUGUAAGUGCCAUCAAAGACGUAAAAUGAGGAGCUCUGGCCAUUAGGGGAGGGUAAGAUCACAUCUGGUUACUAAUGGGAGGUAUGGACGGGGCACAGACACUGCUCUUCCUCUGAUGUCAGCCUGUCCCUGGUAUGCAGGCCCUCGCCUCAUUGAUGAGAGGAGGAGAAGCUGCUAAGAUCCCAGUAGCUUUAAGCUCUUGCAGAAAUCAGUCAUAAACACUAACUCUCUAAUUCAGAAGUGUUGGCUCAAGACACACAAAUUGGUGUAAUGCUUAGGAACCUGCUUAAGAGGCAAAGAGGAAAGAGAAAAUGAAAGUGGUUGUCAUGUUCCUGAUGAAUGCUCCAUAUCUUGCUCGGCCACUUACUAGUCAGGUGGCCUUGGGCAGGUCACUUGUCUUCUCUGAACCCUGGUUUUACCUCAGUUCCUCAUCUAGAGAUUGGGGAUAAUAAUACCGACUCCGCAGGAUAGUGGUGAGGAAUAAAUUAGAUAGAGUAUGUAGGGCCCCUAGUGUAAUGCCUGUAGCACAGUAAGCAUUCAGGAAAUUUCAUCUUCCAUCUUACCUUCUGCCCCUCUAAACACGUCCGUUUUUAAACACCCUUUUAAAAUCCCUGGCCGGGGGCGGGGGAGUGGAGGGAGAGAGAGAGAUCAUUUCACAGCGAUAACUCAUAGAAUUCUAUAUGCUCCACCCUUGCAUACGUUCAGAUUUGGGAAAUUAUGUGCCAUCUUAACUUAAGAAGCUUCCCACCCCUUUACAGCUAUUAAAAGGACAGAGUGGAAAGGGCAAAUCAGAAGUUGUUGCUGUCUUAUCUGUGGCUGAAGGAGGAACUAGGGAGGUCCAGCCUGCAGCCUUCUUUCUUCCUCCAGGUGAACUGAUGAAGACUUAGAAGCAGCAGCUGCAUCAUGGCCAGGGUGGCCUGCCCUUGUCCUUUCACUUUCAUCCUAUAGUUAUCAGGCCGUUAAGGAGCGGUUGUUGCUAUAUCUGUGGUUGACAGUCAUCAUGGCAGCCAAGAAAAAUUUAUGUGUCAAAACAAUUGCAUUUCAUUAAACUUUGGAAUGAGGAAAUAUAUGUGUAGGAUAUAAUAAUUUUUUUUAGAAAUUAAGGAAAAUCAUCCACUCAUUCAGCCUUCAAAUGCUUAUGGACAGCUGCUAUUGUGACAAACACAGUGCUAGGCACUGGAAAUACAACAGUGACUAAAACAAAACUCCCUGCCUUCUCAGAGUUUAUAUUAUGGUGGGAGAUGGAGAAAAUAAACAGGAUAAGUUAGUAAGAUAUAUAUUCCUGAUAUUAUGUAUUAGGAAGUAGUUGGUGCUAAGGGGGAAAAUAAGGCAAGAAAGAAUAUAAAAUAUCUGUGGGGAUGAGGUAUUCAAGUGUUAGAUAGUUGUCCAGGGAAAGUCUCAUUAAUAAGGUGCUUUUGAAGUAAAGACCUGAUGGAAGUGAUGAGCCAGCUGUGAGGGUGUCUGAGGGACAACUUUCAAGGCAGAGGGAACAGUAACUCCAAAAGUCCUGAGAUGGCCUUGUGUGUCUGAGGAAGGUGCCCAGUGUGUCUGAGGAAGGUGCCCAGUGUGUCUGAGGAAAGUGCCCAGUGUGUCUGAGGAAGGUGCCCAGUGUGUCUGAGGAAAGUGCCCAGUGUGUCUGAGGAAGGUGCCCAGUGUGUCUGAGGAAGGUGCCCAGUGUGUCUGAGGAAGGUGCCCAGUGUGUCUGAGGAAGGUGCCCAGUGUGUCUGAGGAAGGUGCCUCAUGUCUCUGAGGAAGGUGGCCCGUGUGUCUGAGGAAGGUGCCCAGUGUGUCUGAGAAGGUGCCUCAUGUCUCUGAGGAAGGUGUCUCCCAUGUCUGAGGAACAGCCAGGAAGCCACUAUUUGACCUGACGGGGAGGGAAAGCAGUCAGAGAUCAGUUCCAAGAGAAAACAGAGGCCAGUUGUGUGGGGCCUUAUAGGACAUGAUAAGGACUUUGAUUUUCACUCAGAGUAAGAAGAGAAGCCACCGUGGCGUCUGGCCAGAGGAGUAAUAAAAUAUUAUAUAACUCAUUUUUAUGAGUGCUUACCCUGUUUCGUUCUAUUUUAAAUGCUUUAUUUGUAAUCCUCACGAUAACCUUAAGAGGUAGGACCUACAUCUCCCAUUUUGCAUCUGAGGAAACAGAGGCCCAAAGAGAUUAAGUUUUGGCUGAAGUCACACAGCCAAAAUUUAGAUCCAGUCCAACUCUUAACCACCUCAUCGUCCUGACUCCCCAAAUGCUUAAGCGAUUGAGACUUUCUUUUUUUUUUUUU
RNAcentral lists this long non-coding RNA (3805 nucleotides) under Equus asinus (donkey). RNAcentral's name for it is "lncRNA (ENSEASG00005036744.1)". The record is from RNAcentral. Lineage: Eukaryota; Metazoa; Chordata; Mammalia; Perissodactyla; Equidae.